This 481-nucleotide ribosomal RNA is filed under the name uncultured bacterium. RNAcentral's name for it is "partial 16S ribosomal RNA". It matches the Rfam family "Bacterial small subunit ribosomal RNA", at positions 28 to 507 of the family's 1533-position model. The record is from RNAcentral.
GAUGAACGCUGGCGGCGUGCCUAACACAUGCAAGUCGAACGGAGAUUCCGGACGGAAGUUUUCGGAUGGAAGCCUGUAAUUCUUAGUGGCGGACGGGUGAGUAACGCGUGGGCAACCUGCCCUAUACAGGGGGAUAGCAGCUGGAAACGGCUGGUAAGACCGCAUAAGUCGGUUAAAUCGCAUGAUUUGAUCGGGAAAUGAGCAAUCAGGUAUAGGAUGGGCCCGCGUCCGAUUAGCCAGUUGGCAGGGUAAAAGCCUACCAAAGCGACGAUCGGUAGCCGGACUGAGAGGUCGGACGGCCACAUUGGGACUGAGACACGGCCCAAACUCCUACGGGAGGCAGCAGUGGGGGAUAUUGCACAAUGGAGGAAACUCUGAUGCAGCGACGCCGCGUGAGUGAAGAAGUAUUUCGGUAUGUAAAGCUCUAUCAGCAGGGAAGAUGAUGACGGUACCUAACUAAGAAGCCCCGGCUAACUACGUG